CAGAGGGGGCAAGCGUUGUUCGGAAUUACUGGGCGUAAAGGGCGCGUAGGCGGCCUGCUAAGUCGAACGUGAAAUCCCUGGGCUCAACCCAGGAACUGCGUCCGAUACUGGUUGGCUUGAAUCCGGGAGAGGGAUGUGGAAUUCCAGGUGUAGCGGUGAAAUGCGUAGAUAUCUGGAGGAACACCGGUGGCGAAGGCGACAUCCUGGACCGGCAUUGACGCUGAGGCGCCGAAAGCCAGGGGAGCAAACGGGAUUAGAUACCCCGGUAGUCCUGGCCCUAAACGAUGAAUGCUUGGUGUGGUGGGUAUCGAUCCCUACCGUGCCGAAGCUAACGCAUUAAGCAUUCCGCCUGGGGAGUACGGUCGCAAGGCUG
Molecule: ribosomal RNA, 373 nt
Filed under: uncultured organism
Description: bacterial SSU rRNA
Rfam family: Bacterial small subunit ribosomal RNA
Source: RNAcentral